RNAcentral lists this ribosomal RNA (468 nucleotides) under uncultured bacterium. RNAcentral describes it as "partial 16S ribosomal RNA". It matches the Rfam family "Bacterial small subunit ribosomal RNA", at positions 28 to 507 of the family's 1533-position model. The record is from RNAcentral.
GACGAACGCUGGCGGCGUGCUUAACACAUGCAAGUCGAACGGAAAGGCCUUGCUUUUGUGGGGUGCUCGAGUGGCGAACGGGUGAGUAACACGUGAGUAACCUGCCUUUGACUUUGGGAUAACUUCAGGAAACUGGGGCUAAUACCGGAUAGGAGCUCCUGCUGCAUGGUGGGGGUUGGAAAGUUUCGGCGGUUGGGGAUGGUCUCGCGGCUUAUCAGCUUGUUGGUGGGGUAGUGGCUUACCAAGGCUUUGACGGGUAGCCGGCCUGAGUGGGUGACAGGCCACAUUGGGGCUGAGAUACGGCCCAGACUCCUACGGGAGGCAGCAGUGGGGAAUAUUGCACAAUGGGCGGAAGCCUGAUGCAGCAACGCCGCGUGCGGGAUGACGGCCUUCGGGUUGUAAACCGCUUUCGCCUGUGACGAAGCGUGAGUGACGGUAAUGGGUAAAGAAGCACCGGCUAACUACGUG